ACACGCAUGACACACUGCAUAUCAAUAAGCGGAGGAAAAGAAACUAACAAGGAUUCCCUUAGUAACGGCGAGUGAAGCGGGAAGAGCUCAAAUUUGAAAUCUUCAAGAUUCUACCUUGACGAAUUGUAGUUUAUAGAAGUGUUUUCUGUUAGUGGAGUGGCAAAAGUUCUUUGGAAUAGGACAUCAUAGAGGGUGAGAAUCCCGUAUUUGGUCAUUCCUCCUAGCGUUGUGAUACACUUUCAACGAGUCGGAUUGUUUGGGAAUGCAGUCCAAAAUGGGUGGUAAAUUUCAUCUAAAGCUAAAUAUUGGCGAGAGACCGAUAGCGAACAAGUACCGUGAGGGAAAGAUGAAAAGAACUUUGAAAAGAGAGUUAAACAGUACGUGAAAUUGUCAAAAGGGAAGCGUUUGACACCAGUGUUGUUUUUCCGAAAAUCAAUUACGAAUGUUUUGUUUUUGAGGAGUUAUGACUUCAUCGGCUUGCUCCUUUCUUUACGAAACUUUCUUAAUGCACUUUUCGGUUAACAAGUCAACAUCAAUUUCUUUUGUUGUAAAAGGGUAUGAGGAAGGUGGCUUUCUUUUCGGAGAAAGUGUUUAUAGCCUUGUGCCUCUACAAUCGGAGAGAUUGAGGUCUGCAGCGUAGAUCCUUCGGGGUUAGAUACAUUUGUGCUAAGUUAUAGCUUUUCAUAGACAACUUGUUGACUAUAUUUAGUCUUGUAGCUUACUCGCUGACGCUAUUUUACCUACGCUUAGGAUGUUGAGCGCAUGUCUCUCUCU
RNAcentral lists this ribosomal RNA (774 nucleotides) under uncultured Neocallimastigales. RNAcentral's name for it is "partial large subunit ribosomal RNA". It matches the Rfam family "Eukaryotic large subunit ribosomal RNA", at positions 23 to 637 of the family's 3401-position model. The record is from RNAcentral. Lineage: Eukaryota; Fungi; Neocallimastigomycota; Neocallimastigomycetes; Neocallimastigales.